UUGGGUGAAGCUGAAGUGGAACAGCGCCGCACUGUGAAUGCGGAGGUUGCCGGUUCGAUCCCGGUCAUCCAACCCA
RNAcentral lists this transfer RNA (76 nucleotides) under Deltaproteobacteria bacterium. RNAcentral describes it as "tRNA-His". It matches the Rfam family "tRNA". From Rfam's summary of the family: Transfer RNA (tRNA) molecules are approximately 80 nucleotides in length. Their secondary structure includes four short double-helical elements and three loops (D, anti-codon, and T loops). Further hydrogen bonds mediate the characteristic L-shaped molecular structure. tRNAs have two regions of fundamental functional importance: the anti-codon, which is responsible for specific mRNA codon recognition, and the 3' end, to which the tRNAs corresponding amino acid is attached (by aminoacyl-tRNA synthetases). tRNAs cope with the degeneracy of the genetic code in two manners: having more than one tRNA (with a specific anti-codon) for a particular amino acid; and 'wobble' base-pairing, i.e. permitting non-standard base-pairing at the 3rd anti-codon position. The record is from RNAcentral. Lineage: Bacteria; Pseudomonadati; Myxococcota; Myxococcia.